Schistocerca piceifrons (Central American locust) is the source of this 185-nucleotide small nuclear RNA. RefSeq annotates it as U2 spliceosomal RNA. The record is from RefSeq and is a predicted model, not a curated record. Lineage: Eukaryota; Metazoa; Arthropoda; Insecta; Orthoptera; Acrididae. The transcript has a single exon.
AUUUCCUCUUAGUAUUCUAUAUUCAGAUAGAAGAAUCUGUUCUUAUCAGCUUAAUAUCUGUGAUGUCCUGCAUAGCAGGACUGGAAUACUGAACUUAUUUUUGGCUCAACACGGAGUGCUAAGAGCGUGCUCUGCCUCUGUCACAGCUCGCGUCCUCACUUUCAAACUCCCUAGAGGUAAUAAAA